UUCGCAAUGCCCGAAAGGGUGACGAAGCGACGCCGCGUGGGUGAAGAAGGCCUUCGGGUUGUAAAACCCUGUCAGGAGUUAUGAAAUGUAAGUGCGCUAAUAUCGUGCUUAUUUGACAAAGGCUCCAAAGGAAGCCACGGCUAACUCUGUGCCAGCAGCCGCGGUAAUACAGAGGUGGCGAGCGUUGUUCGGAAUUAUUGGGCGUAAAGAGCACGUAGGUGGGUUUGCAAGUCAGAUGUGAAAGCCUUCUGUUCAACGGGAGAAUUGCAUCUGAAACUGCUAAUCUUGAGUAUAGGAGGGGAGAAUGGAACUUCUGGUGGAGCGGUGAAAUGCGUAGAUAUCAGAAGGAACGCCGGCGGCGAAAGCGAUUCUCUGGCCUAUUACUGACACUCAGUGUGCGAAAGCUAGGGGAGCAAACGGGAUUAGAUACCCCGGUAGUCCUAGCCGUAAACGAUGGGCACUAAGUAGA
RNAcentral lists this ribosomal RNA (469 nucleotides) under uncultured bacterium. RNAcentral describes it as "bacterial SSU rRNA". It matches the Rfam family "Bacterial small subunit ribosomal RNA", at positions 365 to 824 of the family's 1533-position model. The record is from RNAcentral.